CUUUCACUAUUUUUUAUAUUCCCCAAAUGAAUGAGACCCUAUAAUGUUUGUCCUUCUCCGAUUGAGUUAUUUCACUCAGCAUACCUCCAGUUCCAUCCACGUUGAAGCAAAUGGUGGGUAUUUGUUGUUUCUAAUGGCUGAGUAAUAUUUCAUUGUAUACAUAAGUUACAUCUUUAUCCAUUCAUCUUUUGAUACACACCGAGGCUACUUCCACAGUUUGGCAAUUGUGGACAUUGCUGCUAGAAACAUCUGGGUGCAGGUGUCCUGGUGUAUGACUGCAUCUGUAUCUUUGUGGUAAAUCCCCAGCAUUGCAAUUGUUGGGCCUUAGGGCAGAUCUAUUUUUAACUCUUUGAGGAACCUCCACACAGUUUUCCAGUGUGGCUGAACCAGUUCACAUUCCCACUAACAGUGCAAGCUGGUUCCCCUUUCUCCACAUCCUCUUGAACAUUUGUUGCCUCCUUUCUUCUGUCUGGUUUUUACUGACAUUCAAAUAACGUAAAAGUUCAGGCUCAUAACUUUGUUGCAUUUCUAACUCCUUUCAACAACAACAGGAAAUCGUGUAUUAUGACUAGAAGUUUAAUUGAGUCCUAAACUAUUGGAAAAAAAUCUAAAAUAUACGUUCAUGUUCUAAAGAUUGAGUUUAAACAAAAGAGCCAGAGCUCAUUCUUCCAGAAGGCUUGUUAAGUUGAAUACAGAGCCCUUUUACAAGUAUAUUAGAAAAAUAAGUAGUCCCACAGUAUCAGUCAAUUCAUGUAUAAAUGAGAAGAGAGCUACCAUUAGUGUGAAACUAACUCUGAAGUAGUUGACUGCCAAGCUGAUUGUUAAAUUGGUUUAUUAUUAAAACAGGAGAACAAUCCCACACACUUAGAAAUGAGGUCCUAGAUUGGAAGAACUGGUAAAUGUAGCUGCUCAUAAUCUAAGUUAAAUAAUUCUUCCACAAUUUGAGUAGAUAUAUAUCAACAUGGCAGUCUUAUAUGUAAUUUAUGGUGUUUAGGAAAUUAUCUAAUGGACUUCAUGUUUCCCUAGAGCUUAUUUUUUAGAGAUGCUAGUGAAUACGGAGGGAGAAAACUGAAUGCUCAAAAAAGUCCUAUUGCCAUCUUAUACAUUUGGGGAAACUGUAAGACAAUGUCCAAAGAAUCUUGGUCUUCAAUACUUUUAUAUAUAGUAAUAACUAACACCAUAAAAUAGCACCCAUUUAGAUAGAAUUGAUGGUAGAUGUGGCAGUACUACAUCAUUUUUUACAAUGUCUGAGCCUAUGUAGUACUUAAGACCUUUCCUCCAGGCAUCAAUAUAAAAUAUUGAAUACCUCUAGAAAGCGUGAAAAUAAUUUUGUCUUUGGAAGGAGUUUACGUGAAGUGUUCCUGCAUGUCCCAUUGGAGAUUUGCGAGGAGCCUCUUCUCCCUCUGCCUGUGUCUCUGCCUCUCUCUCCCUCUCUGUGUCUCUCAUGAUUAAAUAGAUAAAUAAAUAAAUAAACAAACAAACAAACAAAAUUUUAAAUAAAUAAAAUAAUCAUCAUUAUUUUAUGAUUUUUAAAAAUGCAGUGAAAGUUAAGGAAAUCAUCCUGAGAGGCAGGAAGCCUCUCAUUUGGCCAUCUUUUUAACAUGUUAUACUUAUUUUCCUCCCUUGUUUAAGGCUUUUUUUUUUGUACGUAUGCCAUGACUUUUUUUGUUAGCUAUACUUUUGAGGAAGAAGCUCUUCAAUUUAGAGGUGCUGUAUCUUUUUCUAGCCAUUAAUUCAUUGUCUUCUAGAAAUACACAUUUGCUUCAAUGUAUCCCUUAGAGUGCAACAAUCCUGAACUCCUAUGGGAUUUUUCACCAAUGACCGAUGAAAGUUGUUUUUUCAACUUCCCUAUUUUAUUGAAGCAGGUCUGAAGACCAGGAAGAAAGCUGACUAGUGAUCUGAAUUGCAAAAUGUUGAGAACUAACCAGUGAAUUGUCAUGGUGCCUAAUGAUUCUUAAGCACAAAGGAAGUUUUAUUAAUUAUUUGAAGUAAAGACAACACAGUCAUUUGUAGGAGAUCCUUAGCUAGAAAGUUUUGAUAUUCUUUGAAGAAAAUUAAUACAACAAAACCUUAAAGUUUUAGAAGAAGUUACAAAAACAUCAAAAUCUGAGCCGCACAAAAGAAAAGUCACGUAUCUGAGGUCACAAACGUAAGGGAAGCAAGUAAAUGCAGGAAAGCUGGAAGCUUCUCCAUUGCUUGUGGCCAUAGAGACUGUGGACAAGACAACAGGAUGCUACUUUUAUUUCAUAGGGAAAUGUCGUUUGUGACCAUCAUUUGUAAAAGGGUUUUCCGUUGGUUUUGGUGCAAAGAGUGUUUGCCACUUCUCGGUCUAAGUGGACUAAGACAUCCCUCACUCCUGUUACCACUAGUCCAUGUUUUCAGUGCUGUUGGUUGGCUUUGGAAAUGUGACCUUUGUGGAUAAAACAGGGAAGUUUCUCUGGCAUCGAGUAGAAAACAAGGAGCCCACACAAGGCUCUGUACAGAUGGUGUGUGUGCAUGCAUGCAUGAGAUACUUUCAUAACAGGAUCUGUUAUGAAAUAUUUACAUAUAUUUAUAUAUACAAAAUAUCUGUAUCUUACAAUGAAGUGAGCUGUGGAAAAGACAAUGUUAUUAAGAAAAUCGUAAGGAAGAGGGGCGCCUGGGUCGUUCAAUCGUUGGGCUCCUGGCUGAUGCAAUUGGUUAAGUGUCUGACACUUGGAUUUGGCUCAGGUCGUGAUCUCAUGAUCUUUGGAUCAAGCCCUGCAUCAGGCUUCAUGCUCAGGAGUGAGUCUAUUUGUAAUUCUCUCCCUCUGUCCCCCUACUCAUGUGUACACACUCUUUCUCAUUCUCUCUCUCUCUUAAAUAAGUAACUAAAUCUUCAAAAAA
RNAcentral lists this long non-coding RNA (2865 nucleotides) under Canis lupus familiaris (dog). RNAcentral describes it as "lncRNA (ENSCAFG00000057331.1)". Lineage: Eukaryota; Metazoa; Chordata; Mammalia; Carnivora; Canidae. The record is from RNAcentral.